Molecule: RNA transcript, 8327 nt
Organism: Papilio polytes (common Mormon)
Lineage: Eukaryota; Metazoa; Arthropoda; Insecta; Lepidoptera; Papilionidae
Gene: shaker
Gene name: potassium voltage-gated channel protein Shaker
Exons: 10
Source: RefSeq, a predicted model, not a curated record
UGUUAAAAUCGCGUAAAAAGUGUCCAUAACAACAAAAAGUCUAAAAACUACUAAAAAACGUUAUAGAAAUAUGUUAUUCCAAGUUCACAUCGACUUUUCCCUUGAUAGCGCAGUGUCUUGAGCAGUGAUAUGGGAAGGAAACAUUUAUGAUCAAGGCAGAUUCGGCACAGAAUCAAAUAUGCAGAUGAUAUUGGUUGCUGGGGGGUCAUUACCCAAAUUAUACAAUCCGGAGGAGGAACAGAAUCGACCACCCCAAGGGGGAGUGGUGACGUUCGAACCAAUCCAGCACGAUCACGACUAUUGCGAGCGGGUCGUUAUAAACGUAAGCGGACUUAAGUUCGAAACCCAACUACGCACCCUCAACCAAUUCCCUGAAACUCUUCUCGGCGACCCUACACGACGCAUACGCUAUUUUGAUCCUUUAAGGAACGAAUACUUCUUCGACAGAAACAGACCAUCUUUCGACGCCAUUCUGUAUUACUACCAAAGCGGAGGUCGCUUGCGACGCCCCGUAAAUGUACCUCUUGACGUGUUCUCUGAAGAAAUCAAAUUCUACGAACUUGGUGAACAAGCUACCAACAAAUUCCGGGAGGACGAAGGAUUCAUCAAGGAGGAGGAGAAGCCCCUGCCCGCCAAUGAGCGCCAGCGCAAAAUCUGGCUGCUCUUUGAGUACCCCGAGAGCUCCCAGGCGGCGCGAGUUGUGGCCAUCAUCUCCGUUUUCGUAAUCCUACUCUCCAUUGUCAUCUUCUGCCUGGAGACCCUGCCGGAGUUCAAGCACUACAAAGUUUUCAACACCACCACCAACGGCACCAAGAUCGAAGAGGACGAAGUGCCCGAUAUCACCGAUCCCUUCUUCCUCAUCGAGACCUUGUGCAUAAUUUGGUUUACAUUCGAGUUGAUAGUGCGCUUCCUAGCUUGUCCGAACAAAUUUAAUUUCUUCAGAGACGUCAUGAAUAUAAUAGAUAUCAUUGCUAUUAUUCCCUACUUCAUCACCCUUGCUACUGUCGUUGCCGAAGAAGAGGACACCUUAAACUUGCCACGCGCGCCCGUCUCACCACAAGACAAGUCCACCAACCAAGCUAUGAGUCUCGCCAUACUCCGUGUGAUUCGCCUGGUGCGAGUCUUCAGGAUCUUUAAACUGUCUCGCCACUCCAAGGGUCUUCAGAUCCUUGGACGUACUCUCAAGGCAUCUAUGCGGGAACUCGGACUUCUAAUAUUCUUCUUGUUCAUCGGUGUGGUGCUGUUUUCCUCCGCGGUGUACUUCGCUGAAGCCGGAAGCGAGAACAGCUUCUUCAAAUCCAUACCAGAUGCGUUUUGGUGGGCGGUGGUGACUAUGACGACCGUAGGAUACGGAGACAUGACGCCUGUUGGCGUGUGGGGCAAGAUCGUGGGGUCGCUGUGUGCGAUCGCUGGCGUACUCACUAUUGCGCUGCCCGUUCCAGUCAUCGUGUCCAACUUCAAUUACUUCUAUCAUCGGGAGACUGAUCAGGAGGAGAUGCAGUCACAAAACUUCAACCAUGUCACCAGCUGCCCCUAUUUGCCUGGUACUAUGGGGGAGCCUUACCUGAUUUCAGGCCCGAUCCAAAAGAAGUCCUCGGUGAGUGACGAAUCAUCUUCGGACACGAUGGAGCUGGACGAGAGCGCGCUGGUGGCGGACUCGCAGCUGGAGGAGAACCUGACGCGGCUGCGUGAGGAGGAGCGCCUGUUGCUCGAGCAGCAAGCCGCCAUGGAGGCCGGCAACACUGACGACAUCGCUGCCCUCGAAAACCAGGACGCUCUUCGCUAUAACCAGCUGCAACAGCUGCAAGUACAGAAACAGCAGAAGGCGCAGGCGCAGUGGCUGGCGCGGCAGCAGUCGCAGGCGCAAGGUCAGGCUGCGGGCCAGUCUUCGGGCCAGGCUGCGGGUCAGGCGCAGGCUCAGGCACCUGAGCGCUCGCUCGGCGCCAGGCCCCGCGACAACCGUGACACCCGCGACACUCGCGACAUAUGCGAGUACCGCGAGUGCCGCGAGCUGCGCGAGGGCCCGCGCCGCCGCGCUGCGUGCAAUGUGCGCGUCAACAACCUGCACUCCGCCUCUGCUGCCCCCGACGCCAUCGAGACAGAUGUCUGACCAUUAGGUAAGCAGACACCCUACACACACUUACAUUAUCAAUCAUAGAACGCGAAGUUAUCACAUAUCACAAGCUAAUCUCAAAUCAAAUACGUUUGCAACUAAUAUACUUAUUUCAGGAAUAUCCAGGGUAUAUUUAUUUAACAUAAUACACCUCCACAGCAAAAGUCGUUACUUAAUUCCUACCAUUAGAUUUUAUUUUUAUUUAUCCACUCAAGUUCAGGUACAUUUCUAAAAUCUUCGGCAACUGCACAGACUAGUGUUAUCAUACGAACAACCUCCAUUCAUACCGGAACACAGCUUUUGAUCGCUGUCUUAAAUGAAACCUGAUCCAGCAAUUCAUCUAAGCUGGCCAUCUUCGCAACAUUUCUAGCCGGGUACCUUCAUUGUAUGUUAAGUUGCUACCAAGUCGAUCAUCAAGGUAAUCUGUUACACGUAUUUCAUAUUAUUUAAGAAGAUUGGUACCAUGAACAUUCACUUAUUUUCCUGAUGCACAAAAGCGUCAAUCAAAAUAACAUCGAUUCCAUUUCUAUAGUUUGAUUUACAGAGAAGUUGGCCUAUUUUAAAGUAGUAGACGUAAAUUGGUUAAUGAAGUUUAAGUAAAAGCAUUUAAUUAUUAUAGUAUAACGAAAAUGAGGAUUCACUAGACUUUUCUAAUAAUUUACCGUGGUAUCAUUUCGAAUCAUUUGUUAAUACAUGUUCCCAAUAUUAAUGCAUUUUUAUUUGUUUAUUAGUUUCUGUUCAAAUACAUCAUUACUCGGGACAUUAGAGGAAGAAAGCGGGCCGGCGCGAGGGCGCGCACGAGCUCGUUGAGCUGCAGGAGCCGGCGCUGUCGGUGUGGCGUGGCCGGCUGGCGGCGCGCUCACCCCGCUCCCCGCCCGCCUGCCGUGUCUAAACUCUACGCUGUGGAAUACACGUUCGGCACUCGCGAGCGGCUUUCGGCUAAACCGUCAAAAGUGCUGUACCCAAUUAACCCGUGAGGCGCGCGUGAAUUGGUAUACCCAAAUAUCCAAUCAGGCGUGCGUGAGUUGGUGUACCGGGCUAACCCGUCUGACGUGUGUAGGCAGCCGUUUUGUAGCCGCAUGUAGCUCGCCCGCUUCCUCGCAGCGCCGUACUAGUCCUCAGUGUACCCGUGAAGUAAUGAACAUGAACAAUGGUUUAAAUACAUGUCAUAAAUUAUAAUCAAAUAUGAUAUUAGCGUCAGUGUUUAAAAAUACCGUAAAAUUUCCUUAAACAGCUUUUCGGCAGAUUAUAAAAAUUGUAAAUAUAUGAAUAUAUAUAUACUGUCUGCUUAUGUAUUGCUUUAAAACACUUUCUGCAUUUAAUCACAAAGGUAAAUUUAGAAAAAAUCAAACAAUGUUAAAUGGAAAUAGGCCUAGUUUAUCAUUUGUUCGUAGUUUUCAAAAUAAUCACAUGCAAUAGACUAAUGUUCAAAAUGUAAAUGUAGAGUAUGGUAUAUAUGUUAAAAGACGCAAGGCUGCGCGACGCAGCGACGAUCGCCCCCCGCCGGCAGGCAUACUACGCCCUGGCGCGGGCGCGGCGAACCUCUAUUACGACAACUUAAACAUGGAUUAACCUCCACACGCCGAUACUAAGAAGAAAAAUGCGGCACUGCUAGCGGUACAAUAUGUCUUGCAUAUUUUGCAAACAGUACACUAGAAUUGUCCUACUGAAAUUACAGAUACAUUUGAUUUGCAACAUUGCUGAGCGAUUAUUCAUAUACAGCACGCGAUGCUCUAAUUCGCUUAUGCGGUUCUUAAAGUACGCCCUACCGAUAGGGCCCUACCUGAACCGUACAACUUGUGCGGUAGCUUUCUGUUGCUCAGAAUGUUGUUUUAGAAUGUAUCUGACUUUCAGUUCCGAGCCUGACGCGGUAAGUACCGCAUUAAAACAUUUACAACGUUACACAGGCUCGGAAAAUAAAAUCGUAGUUAUAAGUUAUUUAUGUUGUAUGUUGUAAAAUAUCUGUAUGUAUCAAUAUUCAGUAAUAUACACAAAGUUAAAUGUAGCAGCCUCGGAUCUAGCGCAAGCGCUAGAACUGUUUAUAGGUAGUCCGUAAACAUCGAUGUUGUCCAUCAGUUUAUAAAUCUCUAUAUGUUAAUCAUUAAGCAAAGUAUGUACGGUUGUGAGUCAUCUAGGCCAGCGACAGAAUUGAGUAAGACAAGAGAUCGCAUACUGAAAUUAAAAGACUGAAGUAAUACUUAUGCACAGCUGACGAGUACAGUCGUUGUCAGAAGUGUAAGCGUAGAGAGUGCACGCAAUGUCACUGUACUCCCGUGUACUGUGCCACCUUCUCAGUCACCACCACCACCAGUCGAAUGCAUGUAGAGCUGUCGCUGAGACAAAGAACUGUGUUUAUUAACUUUUAAAAUUAUCUUAGAGACAUAUCCAGUAAGACGUGAUUUUAAUGUUAUAUUUGUUGUUAAAUGUUCGGUGUUCUUAGCGUAAUAUGAUUGUGUUUGAAGUCUUGUGCUUUAGCUUUAGCAUGCAUCACUCGGGGUUUCGACGUGUCAAUUCAUUACAAUGAGGUUCUGAGUGAUCGGCUAAAGUUGCAGUGCACGACCUGGAAUGACAAAUGUUGCGACGGAAAAAUAUGACGGGAAAUUAUGUAGGGCUAUAUACACACAGCAUUGCUCAAAACGGAUCUUAUUGAUUAUUGAUUUAUCUUUUAUAUUUUGUACUUUACCUUGAUUGACGUACCUAAAUCAAAAUACAGACAUUAGACCAAAUCUUUACCUCGCAAAUAUUUAAAUCAGACUUACUCCGAUAGGGAUCAAUUGUUAAAUUUGAUCAACCGAGAAAUAAAACUUGUCGCCUUUUAGCAUCGACGCCGGCAUAAGCCGGACACGCUUUAUAGCUCCAAUUCCAAGCGAUUGUCUUUUUGGAAACAUUUUUAUCAUUUUAUUAAAUAAAUAACUUUUUAUAUUUAAGUGGCAUUAACGCGUUAAGUUCAUAUUUUCGUACACAUUUUGCCAACAUUGGUUCAAAGGUCCGUCCAACAGCGCACGCAUAUAGUUUUAAAAUCAAUAUGAACAUUGGAAGUAUAAACCUUCCGCGCCAUUUCAUCGCAUUGGGGCUUGGCCACCCGAAACCCCGACAGCCGACACUACAUUUGCCCUCAUAAUUGUGACCCGAUUUCGUGGAGAGGACUGAUCGUAGAUUUAUUUCAAUGUAUCAAUCGGUGUUAGUUGUUAUAAUACAUUUGAAAUAAUUGUCAUCAUAUCAUUAAUACACAUUUCAUAGCGUAUAACAUUUAGGUAAAAGACAUUAUAUUUAUCUCAUAUAUGUAAAUUAGAGUAGGACAGUAGUUACUAAUUAAUGUAGACUAAAUCCUCUUUUCGUUUACGUUUCAUGCGGAUUCUAUUAUAAAGUAGAGGAGCAUGGCAAAGUAAAUAGAUGUAACUAUAUAAUGCGUGUCAUAACGUUUCCAUUAUAAGUAUGAUAACGUCACAAACGAUUAAGAUACAUUAUUACGGCCUUCGUCAGGCCGCUCGGACAUAUUCUGACACCGGGUUGACGAAGGGCAGCGGCAUUGGGCAGGGUGUCGUGUAGAGGAUGGCAGCGGAUGAGCUGCAGCCAACGGUGGCAUCCUAAGCCCCAGUUAGCAAGAGGGGUUACUGCCUUGGUGACAAAUUAUAUUGACACUUUUGUCUGCACAGCAUUUUAGAUACAUCUAUUUUAAUUGCGCAAAUAUCUUUAAACAUUCCUUAUUGAUUAUUGAUGUUCAAAUAUAUAUGUGUACUUUACUAUGUAGUUUAAAUGUCAAUGGUAAUUAAUGGUUAUUAUUGGAAGUAAUGCACCUUUUACGUGUGCCCGAAGUUAACGCACUCUAAAGUUGUCUAUACAACAUAUCUUGUCAAACAAUAAUUACACAGAUUCGUUAUUAUAUUACGGCCAGGUAAAAUGAGCAUUAUUUUUUCAGUUACUGAUGUUAUUGUGGGACAAAUAAUAUCAAAAUCCAUAAAGCAAUAUCAUAUUACAAAUGAUCUUGAAUUUGGUAUAUUGUUCUCAAACAAGAUUGGGCCUUGAGGGGCUCAAAUAAGACCCUGCGAGGGUGUAUAGGGGACAGUUGAUGAUGAACCAGUGACAUUUUAAAAAGGAUCUAUUACGAAAAUAUUGCGAUUCUUUGGUAUACAAUAAUGAAACCAAGCGCGUUAUUUGUACCACAAUAAUUAUUCAGAAAUUGAAAUUAGAAACAGGUAUCCGAGGCUGUUGCAGUAAACCGUUAAUUAAUUUGAUGUCAUAUUGUAAUCGUAGUGAAUUCAUGUGGUGUUUGUUGUUUUAAAUCAAGUGGGUCCCGAUGACUUAGCGACAAUGCAACAAUCAAACCCUUCUUCAAACCUUUCGAAGUAAUUGAACAUAGUUGAUGUGCAUUUACUUAGUAGAUUGUUGUCGACAGUUUACAUUUUGUUUAUUACUUUUGUAUUUUCCUAACAAUAGGAAUACAAACAAUUAACGUUUGGUAUCUAACAUAUCGCUACGAUGUUAAUUAAAAAUAUCGAGGUCAUAAGAUCUUGCUGUAUAGCAAACACUGAGUAAAAAAAAUAGCAAAUGCCACUAGAUUUCUCAAUAAAUUUCAAUAAAGAGUACGGUUUUGCUUCGGCUUCGAUGAAAUAUACAUGAGAUAUUUAGAAUUAAUCGUGAAUUACUCAUGUUGGCCAAAAUUUUAGAUACGCCGUAUACGCGUUUAAGGCGUAUUAUGAUUUUCACUCAGUAUUAUUAGUUGAUAUUGCAUGAAACUUUACGAUUGUCUUAAAAAGGUAAGUCAUCAAGGACCCCGUUAUAAUAUUAAACGAUCUGUAAUUAUCACUACACUUGAGGCACAUGAAGACGCUGUAAAACAUAACAAACAUGAAAGAUAGAGGCAAUCGAUUCGUUUGUAGAUUUGUUAAAUACCUAUAUAAAGAUCCUUGUGCAUAGAAAUGUCUGACAACUUGCUACGAUCAAGUUUCCACAAGUCAUGGGAUUUCAUGUUAAAAGUGUAGUGGGAAUUAUUAGAUUUAGUAAUAACAAUAUAUGUAACUGUGUAAUCAUGUAGCCAGCUAACCUUCUAAGAGAAUCUUGUUUUGAGUUUUCAUUCUUUACUGUUUCUUUGAUAAACUUGCCAUUACUUAGUUGUUUACUACAUAGUUUAUGUUGAUGGAAACACAUAUACUUCUAUUCGAGUAAUAUUUUUUAGUUAGGGUGGAAUUGGCAAAAAAAUUAAUAUGUAAAGUCUGACGAUAUUACUUUUGACUUAUCGGCUAUAUGUAAUAUGGUCUUUAGGAUCAACAGUAACUAUGUAAAUUUAAUUUGUCUCACUAUGUAUAGUUAGGGGAUGUUUGCAGACGUUAUUGGCAGAUGCUAUGUAGCGUACGUAUUUCGUGUACUUUGUUUUGUUUGCGAGUGCACACUCGGAGAGCGCAGGGAAGCACGAUCGUAUGAAUUCCGAAACGCAAAUGGGAUCAGCAUCUUACGUUACUCGAUUUAAUUAUCAUUAAACAGCUUAUAUCAUAAUUCGAUUACAUUUUUUUAACUAUAACUUAAACAGUAAAUUACAAUAAAAAAAAGCGUCAAUUCGCUUUUCUACAAAAAGUUCCGCAAAUUUUGACUAACUUUGAUAAUAGGUAUAAUUUUUCGUUAUCACUUGUCCCCUCUCCGUCCAGGUAAAAGCGUGUUCAUAAUAUAUUUGAAUAUAAACACAAAAUUCACUUUUAUUCUAUUAAGCAUCGAUUAAGUGAUUAAAUAUAUCUUCCUAUAAUAAUAAUUAAAUUUUAAAGAAUGUAAAUCUACUUAUAAUCAUUGGAGUUUUUGGCAGUGACGUCAUACGGUGCGGCGCGACGAAAGCCGUGCUCGUCUUUGUCAUGAAAUAAUCUUAUCCAAUUUAAUCGUGCUGGAUACGCUGAAGUUUUGCUAAAACGAGCUUAGGCAUUUGAAUUCAAAUUAACAUAUUCGAAUUUUAAACAAUUUACUUAUAAUUUAGGAUAAAGGGCUGGGGUUCAACGGACCUUUGCCUUCCAUCGUCAUUAUGCGUAAUUUUUAAAUAAGAUUUUCUAAUGAUAAGAGCUUUUCGAAUAGUAUACUAAAAUAUGAGGUCUUAUGAAAUCACCUAACUUUUGCAGCAUGUUUUAUUAAACUAAUAUCCAUCCAAUAUUGAUAGAUGUUAAAUGUAUUGGUCGAAGGCGUUUCUAACUCGUAUACAAUAUAAUGUCGUAUAUAUUACAAGUUUUUUUUUUAU